Molecule: ribosomal RNA, 585 nt
Filed under: Triticum aestivum (bread wheat)
Lineage: Eukaryota; Viridiplantae; Streptophyta; Magnoliopsida; Poales; Poaceae
Description: partial small subunit ribosomal RNA
Source: RNAcentral
AUGCCAGGAGGAGAUGAACCAGUUUUCGGAGGUAGGGAGGCGUUUGCAGGUGCAGGCAAGGGAGGGAAUGGUGGUGCUGCUGGGCGAGCGAUCGGAGGUAGGGGAGGGAAUGGUGUUGGGUCCAGGGGACCUGCAGCCGUGGGUGCAGGCGUAGGAGGACAGUACCAGUUCCAAGUAGGAGGUGGCGGAGCCAGGCCAGCUGCAGGCGGAGGAGCAGCCAGACGACAGUUCCCGGUGGGCGGGUACGGUGGCGGAGCCAGGCCAGUGGCAGGCGGAGGAGGGUUUGUAGGUGCGGGCGGAGGACAGUUCCCGGUGGGAGGGAGCGGUGGUGGACGCAUGGGAGCUGCAGCCGUGAGAGCGUUCGCAGGUGCCCUCGGAGGACCGAUCCCAGCAGGAUUGUUGUACGGUGGUGGAGUCCAGGGAGCUGGAGCCGUGGGAGAGUUUGGAGCGGCUAGGGGAGGAGGGUUCAGAAGGAACGCCGAUGAUAUUCUGCCCGCUGUGUUCUACCGAGGAAUUAUGCGAGGCUCAGGCGUCGAAUUCACAAUCACAAACAAGGUUUGCUCAUCAUUCCCUACCUUCCUUUGA